This 634-nucleotide ribosomal RNA is filed under the name uncultured Bacillota bacterium. RNAcentral's name for it is "bacterial SSU rRNA". It matches the Rfam family "Bacterial small subunit ribosomal RNA", at positions 103 to 717 of the family's 1533-position model. Lineage: Bacteria; Bacillati; Bacillota. The record is from RNAcentral.
CGGGUGAGUAACGCGUAAGCAACCUGCCCUCUAGAUGGGGACAACAGCUGGAAACGGCUGCUAAUACCGAAUGCGUUCUUUCUGUCGCAUGGCAGAGGGAAGAAAGGGAGGCUCUUCGGAGCUUUCGCUGGAGGAGGGACUUGCGUCUGAUUAGCUAGUUGGAGGGGUAACGGCCCACCAAGGCGACGAUCAGUAGCCGGUCUGAGAGGAUGAACGGCCACAUUGGGACUGAGACACGGCCCAGGCUCCUACGGGAGGCAGCAGUGGGGAAUCUUCCGCAAUGGACGAAAGUCUGACGGAGCAACGCCGCGUGAACGAUGACGGCCUUCGGGUUGUAAAGUUCUGUUAUACGGGACGAAUGGUACGACGGUCAAUACCCGUCGUAAGUGACGGUACCGUAAGAGAAAGCCACGGCUAACUACGUGCCAGCAGCCGCGGUAAUACGUAGGUGGCAAGCGUUGUCCGGAAUUAUUGGGCGUAAAGGGCGCGCAGGCGGCGUCGUAAGUCGGUCUUAAAAGUGCGGGGCUUAACCCCGUGAGGGGACCGAAACUGCGAUGCUAGAGUAUCGGAGAGGAAAGCGGAAUUCCUAGUGUAGCGGUGAAAUGCGUAGAUAUUAGGAGGAACACCAGUGGCG